UCAAGUGAAGAAGCGCAUACGGUGGAUGCCUUGGCAGUCAGAGGCGAUGAAAGACGUGGUAGCCUGCGAAAAGCUUCGGGGAGUCGGCAAACAGACUGUGAUCCGGAGAUGUCUGAAUGGGGGAACCCAGCCAUCAUAAGAUGGUUAUCUUACACUGAAUACAUAGGUGUAAGAGGCGAACCAGGGGAACUGAAACAUCUAAGUACCCUGAGGAAAAGAAAUCAACCGAGAUUCCCUUAGUAGUGGCGAGCGAACGGGGACCAGCCCUUAAGUUGUAUUGAGAUUAGCGGAACGCUCUGGAAAGGGCGGCCAUAGUGGGUGAUAGCCCUGUACGCGAAAAUCCCUUUGCAAUGAAAUCGAGUAGGACGGGGCACGAGAAACCUUGUCUGAAUAUGGGGGGACCAUCCUCCAAGGCUAAAUACUACUGACUGACCGAUAGUGAACCAGUACCGUGAGGGAAAGGCGAAAAGAACCGCGGAGAGCGGAGUGAAAUAGAUCCUGAAACCGUAUGCGUACAAGCAGUGGGAGCCCACUUUGUUGGGUGACUGCGUACCUUUUGUAUAAUGGGUCAGCGACUUAUUUUCAGUGGCGAGCUUAACCGAAUAGGGGAGGCGUAGCGAAAGCGAGUCUUAAUAGGGCGUCUAGUCGCUGGGAAUAGACCCGAAACCGGGCGAUCUAUCCAUGGGCAGGUUGAAGGUUGGGUAACACUAACUGGAGGACCGAACCGACUACCGUUGAAAAGUUAGCGGAUGACCUGUGGAUCGGAGUGAAAGGCUAAUCAAGCUCGGAGAUAGCUGGUUCUCCUCGAAAGCUAUUUAGGUAGCGCCUCAUGUAUCACUGUAGGGGGUAGAGCACUGUUUCGGCUAGGGGGUCAUCCCGACUUACCAAACCGAUGCAAACUCCGAAUACCUACAAGUGCCGAGCAUGGGAGACACACGGCGGGUGCUAACGUCCGUCGUGAAAAGGGAAACAACCCAGACCGUCAGCUAAGGUCCCAAAGUCAUGGUUAAGUGGGAAACGAUGUGGGAAGGCUUAGACAGCUAGGAGGUUGGCUUAGAAGCAGCCACCCUUUAAAGAAAGCGUAAUAGCUCACUAGUCGAGUCGGCCUGCGCGGAAGAUGUAACGGGGCUCAAACCAUGCACCGAAGCUACGGGUAUCAUCUUUUGAUGAUGCGGUAGAGGAGCGUUCUGUAAGCCUGUGAAGGUGAGUUGAGAAGCUUGCUGGAGGUAUCAGAAGUGCGAAUGCUGACAUGAGUAACGACAAUGGGUGUGAAAAACACCCACGCCGAAAGACCAAGGUUUCCUGCGCAACGUUAAUCGACGCAGGGUUAGUCGGUCCCUAAGGCGAGGCUGAAAAGCGUAGUCGAUGGAAAACAGGUUAAUAUUCCUGUACUUCUGGUUAUUGCGAUGGAGGGACGGAGAAGGCUAGGCCAGCCUGGCGUUGGUAGUCCAGGUUUAAGGUGGUAGGCUGAGAUCUUAGGUAAAUCCGGGAUCUUAAGGCCGAGAGCUGAUGACGAGUGUUCUUUUAGAACAUGAAGUGGUUGAUGCCAUGCUUCCAAGAAAAGCUUCUAAGCUUCAGGUAACCAGGAACCGUACCCCAAACCGACACAGGUGGUUGGGUAGAGAAUACCAAGGCGCUUGAGAGAACUCGGGUGAAGGAACUAGGCAAAAUGGCACCGUAACUUCGGGAGAAGGUGCGCCGGUGAGGGUGAAGCAUUUACUGCGUAAGCCCACGCCGGUCGAAGAUACCAGGCCGCUGCGACUGUUUAUUAAAAACACAGCACUCUGCAAACACGAAAGUGGACGUAUAGGGUGUGACGCCUGCCCGGUGCCGGAAGGUUAAUUGAUGGGGUUAGCGCAAGCGAAGCUCUUGAUCGAAGCCCCGGUAAACGGCGGCCGUAACUAUAACGGUCCUAAGGUAGCGAAAUUCCUUGUCGGGUAAGUUCCGACCUGCACGAAUGGCGUAACGAUGGCGGCGCUGUCUCCACCCGAGACUCAGUGAAAUUGAAAUCGCUGUGAAGAUGCAGUGUAUCCGCGGCUAGACGGAAAGACCCCGUGAACCUUUACUAUAGCUUUGCACUGGACUUUGAAUUUGCUUGUGUAGGAUAGGUGGGAGGCUUUGAAGCGUGGACGCCAGUCUGCGUGGAGCCAACCUUGAAAUACCACCCUGGCAACUUUGAGGUUCUAACUCAGGUCCGUUAUCCGGAUCGAGGACAGUGUAUGGUGGGUAGUUUGACUGGGGCGGUCUCCUCCUAAAGAGUAACGGAGGAGUACGAAGGUGCGCUCAGACCGGUCGGAAAUCGGUCGUAGAGUAUAAAGGCAAAAGCGCGCUUGACUGCGAGACAGACACGUCGAGCAGGUACGAAAGUAGGUCUUAGUGAUCCGGUGGUUCUGUAUGGAAGGGCCAUCGCUCAACGGAUAAAAGGUACUCCGGGGAUAACAGGCUGAUACCGCCCAAGAGUUCAUAUCGACGGCGGUGUUUGGCACCUCGAUGUCGGCUCAUCACAUCCUGGGGCUGAAGCCGGUCCCAAGGGUAUGGCUGUUCGCCAUUUAAAGUGGUACGCGAGCUGGGUUUAGAACGUCGUGAGACAGUUCGGUCCCUAUCUGCCGUGGACGUUUGAGAUUUGAGAGGGGCUGCUCCUAGUACGAGAGGACCGGAGUGGACGAACCUCUGGUGUUCCGGUUGUCACGCCAGUGGCAUUGCCGGGUAGCUAUGUUCGGAAAAGAUAACCGCUGAAAGCAUCUAAGCGGGAAACUUGCCUCAAGAUGAGAUCUCACUGGAACCUUGAGUUCCCUGAAGGGCCGUCGAAGACUACGACGUUGAUAGGUUGGGUGUGUAAGCGCUGUGAGGCGUUGAGCUAACCAAUACUAAUUGCCCGUGAGGCUUGA
RNAcentral lists this ribosomal RNA (2888 nucleotides) under Pseudomonas syringae pv. maculicola. Its description in RNAcentral is "bacterial LSU rRNA". It matches the Rfam family "Bacterial large subunit ribosomal RNA". Lineage: Bacteria; Pseudomonadati; Pseudomonadota; Gammaproteobacteria; Pseudomonadales; Pseudomonadaceae. The record is from RNAcentral.